UACGGGGGGUGCUAGCGUUAUUCGGAAUCACUGGGCGUAAAGGGCGCGUAGGCGGCCAUUUAAGUCGGAUGUGAAAUCCCGGGGCUUAACUCCGGAAGUGCAUCCGAUACUGAAUGGCUUGAGUAUGGGAGAGGGAAGUGGAAUUCCAGGUGUAGAGGUGAAAUUCGUAGAUAUCUGGAGGAACACCGGUGGCGAAGGCGACUUCCUGGACCAAUACUGACGCUGAGGCGCGAAGGCGUGGGGAGCAAACAGG
Molecule: ribosomal RNA, 253 nt
Filed under: uncultured bacterium
Lineage: Bacteria
Description: partial 16S ribosomal RNA
Rfam family: Bacterial small subunit ribosomal RNA
Source: RNAcentral